Small nucleolar RNA from Beta vulgaris subsp. vulgaris (sugar beet), 108 nucleotides. It matches the Rfam family "Plant small nucleolar RNA R71". Rfam says of the family: R71 is a member of the C/D box family of snoRNAs containing the C (UGAUGA) and D (CUGA) box motifs. Multiple nearly identical copies of this snoRNA have been identified in Arabidopsis, and it is thought to function as a 2'-O-ribose methylation guide for 18S ribosomal RNA. The record is from Rfam. NCBI's taxonomy places the organism in Eukaryota, Viridiplantae, Streptophyta, Magnoliopsida, Caryophyllales, Amaranthaceae.
AGACCAUGAUAGGGGCACAAAUGCUGAAGACGCUUAAAUCUUUCCCAGGCUUCAUAGAGCGACUCCCAUGGCUCUUGAGCCAAAUGUAGUGAUAUGGUGUCUGAUAUC